Molecule: long non-coding RNA, 1820 nt
Organism: Lates calcarifer (barramundi perch)
Lineage: Eukaryota; Metazoa; Chordata; Actinopteri; Centropomidae
Exons: 5
Source: RefSeq, a predicted model, not a curated record
AGGGGGCGGAGAAACGACGCCGGAAAACAGAUUUAAACCAAGUUUCGACAGUUGCCUCUGUUUGCUAGUACUGUGAGAGAACACCGUUACCGGGGAGGUCUGGGUACUGAAACAAAUCCUGGAGCUGCUUUUUGGUCGUUAAUGAAGAGGUCUGGGCCCUAAAACAAACUCUGGAGCUGCUUUUUGGCGUUAACAAAGAGGUCUAGAUGCUAAAACAAACCCUGGAGCUGAUGGUUUUUGUCGAAAACGAGUGAGAUUGGACGCUGAACGGGGCGAAGGUGUCACCACUUCGUCCACCACAUCGUCCUCGAUCACAGAGACGUCAUCCUCGAUCACAGAGACAUGGUCCAUGAUCGGAGAGACAUUGUUGAGGAUGAGGGAGACAUCGUCCACGAUCAGAGACGUCGUCUAUGAUCGCAGAGACCUUGUCAAAGACGAGAGAGACGUUGUCCAUGAUCAGAGACAUUGUCCCAUGCUUCGUAGAGACCUUGCGAUAGAAUCGGCGGAGACGGGGGUCACCGAUUUGACGGCACUGCCCGCGAUCAUGGAGACAUUGUUAAUGGUCACAGAGACAGCGUCUAGGAUCUCAGAGACAUCGUCCACGAUCACAAAGACAUUGUCCAUGAUCACAGAGACUUUGUCCAUAAUCUCAGAGACAUUGUCCGCGAUCACAGAGACGUAGUCCACGAUCCGAGUCUUCAUACAGUGAAGAAGUUCUUCAAGACCAGGACAGAGGCCUCCAGGUGUCACCACUUUGUCCACCACAUCGUCCACGAUCACAGAGACGUCGUCCACGAUCACUGAGACAUGGUCCAUGAUCGGAGAGACAUUGUUGAGGAUGAGGGAGACAUCGUCCACGAUCAGAGACAUCGUCUAUGAUCGCAGAGACCUUGUCAAAGACGAGAGAGACGUUGUCCAUGAUCAGAGACAUUGUCCCAUGCUUCGUAGAGACCUUGCGAUAGAAUCGGCGGAGACGGGGGUCACCGAUUUGACGGCACUGCCCGCGAUCAUGGAGACAUUGUCAAUGGUCAAAGAGACAGCGUCUAGGAUCUCAGAGACAUCGUCCACGAUCACAAAGACAUUGUCCAUGAUCACAGAGACUUUGUCCAUAAUCUCAGAGACAUUGUCCGCGAUCACAGAGACGUAGUCCACGAUCCGAGUCUUCAUACAGUGAAGAAGUUCUUCAAGACCAGGACAGAGGCCUCCAGGUGUCACCACUUCGUCCACCACAUCGUCCUCGAUCACAGAGACGUCAUCCUCGAUCACAGAGACAUGGUCCAUGAUCGGAGAGACAUUGUUGAGGAUGAGGGAGACAUCGUCCACGAUCAGAGACGUCGUCUAUGAUCGCAGAGACCUUGUCAAAGACGAGAGAGACGUUGUCCAUGAUCAGAGUCUUCAUACAGUGAAGAAGUUCUUCAAGACCAGGACAGAGGCCUCCAGGUGUCACCACUUCGUCCACCACAUCGUCCACGAUCACAGAGAGUCUUCCAACAGUGAAGUUAUCUGAAAUCAGGACAGAGGCCUCCAGGUAAUUCACAAACAGCUUUACAUCAUCUGUGCAACACAGAGCACUGACUCCCUUUCCCUCUCUCCUUCUCCCCCGUGUAUCUGAAACAGACAUGAAAACAUUUCCAGAAUAUCAUUGUUAGUUUAUUCUUUUCAGUUUGACUUUACCUUACUAUACUAUGACAUUUUUUCACUUUGUUGCCUGUGACAUGCAGCUUAACGCAAAGGAACUAUCUUAAAGCAGCCAUCUUACCUUUCUCCACAGACACGCACACUAACAGUGUUUGUAGGUCAGGUUAGAUAAUUGUUUUUGU